Molecule: ribosomal RNA, 491 nt
Filed under: uncultured bacterium
Lineage: Bacteria
Description: bacterial SSU rRNA
Rfam family: Bacterial small subunit ribosomal RNA
Source: RNAcentral
UUGAACGCUGGCGGCAGGCCUAACACAUGCAAGUCGAGCGGUAGCACAGAGAAGCUUGCUUCUUGGGUGACAAGCGGCGGACGGGUGAGUAACGCGUAGGAAUCUACCUAAUAUGGGGGAUAGCCCAGGGAAACUUGGAUUAAUACCGCAUACGCCCUACGGGGAAAGCGGGGGGGGGAUCUUCGGACCUCGUGCUAUUAGAUGAGCCUGCGUAAGAUUAGCUAGUUGGUGAGGUAAAGGCUCACCAAGGCGACGAUCUUUAGCUGGUCUGAGAGGAUGAUCAGCCACACUGGGACUGAGACACGGCCCAGACUCCUACGGGAGGCAGCAGUGGGGAAUAUUGGACAAUGGGGGCAACCCUGAUCCAGCCAUGCCGCGUGUGUGAAGAAGGCCUUCGGGUUGUAAAGCACUUUCAGAUGUGAGGAAAGGUUGCAGAUUAAUACUCUGCAGCUGUGACGUUAACAUCAGAAGAAGGACCGGCUAACUCCGUG